Molecule: ribosomal RNA, 441 nt
Filed under: uncultured bacterium
Lineage: Bacteria
Description: bacterial SSU rRNA
Rfam family: Bacterial small subunit ribosomal RNA
Source: RNAcentral
GCGAAAGUGACGGUACCUACAAAAGAAGCACCGGCUAACUAUGUGCCAGCAGCCGCGGUAAUACAUAGGGUGCAAGCGUUGUCCGGAAUUAUUGGGCGUAAAGAGCUCGUAGGUCGUUUGUUACGUCGGAUGUGAAAACCUGAGGCUCAACCUCAGGCCUGCAUUCGAUACGGGCAAACUAGAGUUUGGUAGGGGAGACUGGAAUUCCUGGUGUAGCGGUGGAAUGCGCAGAUAUCAGGAGGAACACCAAUGGCGAAGGCAGGUCUCUGGGCCAAUACUGACACUGAGGAGCGAAAGUCUGGGGAGCGAACAGGAUUAGAUACCCUGGUAGUCCAGACCGUAAACGGUGGGCACUAGUUGUGGGAACCUUCCACGGUUUCUGCGACGCAGCUAACGCAUUAAGUGCCCCGCCUGGGGAGUACGAUCGCAAGAUUAAAACUC